Long non-coding RNA from Thalassophryne amazonica, 177 nucleotides. RefSeq lists it as uncharacterized. The record is from RefSeq and is a predicted model, not a curated record. The transcript is spliced from 3 exons. Lineage: Eukaryota; Metazoa; Chordata; Actinopteri; Batrachoidiformes; Batrachoididae.
GGAGACCCCGGACUUUUGAACAACUUAAGUCGUAGAUCAAGCAAGACUGGGAAAGAAUUCCACCUACAAAGCUUCAACAAGCUGUGUCCUCAGUUCCCAAAUGCUUAUUGAGUGUUGUUAGAAGGAAAGGUGAUGUAACACAGCGGUAAACAUACCACUGUCCCAGCUUUUUUGAAA